AACCAUUCGGUAUCCAACCGCGCCUUUUCUGGGCCCCAGCCUCUUUGGGCCAGUUGUACCCGAGCGAUCGACUAGUCCGGAUUCGGGCCGGGCGACAAGUAAAGCCCUCCCCGGUACCCUUUUUAACAAGUGAGGAUUCGAACCCCCACCCUCAAAAAGCAGAGACUCGCCUCACUUGUGGCCUAGCCAGUCACCACUAGGUCAGGAGAAUUUGGGAAAAGCUAU
Molecule: long non-coding RNA, 225 nt
Organism: Neltuma alba
Lineage: Eukaryota; Viridiplantae; Streptophyta; Magnoliopsida; Fabales; Fabaceae
Exons: 3
Source: RefSeq, a predicted model, not a curated record